RNAcentral lists this ribosomal RNA (340 nucleotides) under uncultured soil bacterium. Its description in RNAcentral is "bacterial SSU rRNA". It matches the Rfam family "Bacterial small subunit ribosomal RNA", at positions 26 to 369 of the family's 1533-position model. The record is from RNAcentral.
AGAUUGAACGCUGGCGGCAGGCCUAACACAUGCAAGUCGAGCGGUAGAGAGGUGCUUGCACCUCUUGAGAGCGGCGGACGGGUGAGUAAUGCCUAGGAAUCUGCCUAGUGGUGGGGGAUAACGUUCGGAAACGGACGCUAAUACCGCAUACGUCCUACGGGAGAAAGCGGGGGACCUUCGGGCCUCGCGCCAUUAGAUGAGCCUAGGUCGGAUUAGCUAGUUGGUGAGGUAAUGGCUCACCAAGGCGACGAUCCGUAACUGGUCUGAGAGGAUGAUCAGUCACACUGGAACUGAGACACGGUCCAGACUCCUACGGGAGCAGCAGUGGGGAAUAUUGGAC